CACCGCAAGGCCUGCUGGGAUGGACGUCCCUUGGCAGAGUGCCCCCUAUGGGGCGAACAGGCCAGAUGGCUGCACUGGGUGCUGCAGUGAGCCCAGAGAGCACAGCAGAUCCAUUGGCGAUACUAACAGUGGCCGCUCAACUCACCCAGGGGCUGGAAUGGGACUUUCAAUGACACACACACGCACUCACACACGCACACACACACCUGGUCUAAAAGGAAGGAUGGGUCAGAGGAGGUCAGAAAACUUCUGGGGCGGAGAGAGAGUUGAAGUGGAGGUGAUUGGGGUUGCCCGACCCCCGGUUGGGGGAGGCCAGCCAAAGAACCUAGAAGGGAAGAAAGGAAAAGUUUUCCACUCUUACAGUUCAGGCCCUGAACAUGGGGCCCUCCACUGGCUGGAUAUUGCUCACUCCAGGACUACUGCAGCUGAGAGAUCGCCAGGACUUCUAAUAAAAGUCAGCAGACGGAGGGUCUCAGCCAAGAACCUAGAAGGAUGGAGGGAAAAUUAUUUUUCCUCCCCUGCAGUAUGAAAGAAACUGAAGAAAUAAACACCCCUGCAAACAGAAAAAAAUGAGUCCCCCCUCAAAAAAGAAACACAAAGAAAAA
This 605-nucleotide long non-coding RNA is filed under the name Equus caballus (horse). RNAcentral's name for it is "lncRNA (ENSECAG00000049207.1)". The record is from RNAcentral. Lineage: Eukaryota; Metazoa; Chordata; Mammalia; Perissodactyla; Equidae.